Physcomitrium patens is the source of this 551-nucleotide RNA transcript. RefSeq lists it as uncharacterized. NCBI's taxonomy places the organism in Eukaryota, Viridiplantae, Streptophyta, Bryopsida, Funariales, Funariaceae. The record is from RefSeq and is a predicted model, not a curated record.
AAACCUCCCAAGGCAACCAAGAAAGUAAUCCGCACACAACAUACCCACAUCCGUCUCCACUUUCCUGUGAUCUCUCCUCCCCGCACGUAUACACUACUCGCUCUAUCUUCCGCUACGACACUCCCCGCGGUCCCUCAAAGAAAACCCAAUAAUGAGGAAUUGCAAUCGGCCAAGGAUUGCGUGCAGCAACGAGUGCUUGGGUUGCAAGCAGUGCUGCACGAGGCUCUCAUCAUCACCAGACCAGGCCUCUGCCACCCGCAGAAUCCCUUUACUACCGGUAACUCGUGAUCUACAUAGGAAUGGCGAGACGUCUUGUUCUGCUAAAGAUACCGAGGAUUCGCUGCAGUGUGUCGUGGACAUGUGCACAUGAUUCAGGAUGAUGCUCCUUGGAACUGGCCUCUGAAGGUGGAGGGGAUCACUUGUUGGCGUAACGAGCCACAAAUGGUAUGAUUCCAUAAACAGGUGAACUUAACGUGAAGCAAGGAGGUAUGGUGUGAUUUUAAUGGAGAUCCGAAGGAGAUGUAAGGACGGAAUCAACAAAGCUGAUGAGA